Molecule: long non-coding RNA, 120 nt
Organism: Aricia agestis (brown argus)
Lineage: Eukaryota; Metazoa; Arthropoda; Insecta; Lepidoptera; Lycaenidae
Exons: 3
Source: RefSeq, a predicted model, not a curated record
CUUAAAUAUAUUUUAUCAGCCGUUAGGGCUUCCCACACAUAACGGCGAAUUCACAUCGCAUCGCAAAAUAUCUGCGAAAAAAUUCAUAAAAAAUGACAUUGCGCUGCGAUGCGAUUUGCA